This 778-nucleotide ribosomal RNA is filed under the name uncultured Neocallimastigales. RNAcentral describes it as "partial large subunit ribosomal RNA". It matches the Rfam family "Eukaryotic large subunit ribosomal RNA", at positions 24 to 620 of the family's 3401-position model. The record is from RNAcentral. Lineage: Eukaryota; Fungi; Neocallimastigomycota; Neocallimastigomycetes; Neocallimastigales.
GUAGUCUCGCACAGAUGCAUAUCAAUAAGCGGAGGAAAAGAAACUAACAAGGAUUCCCUUAGUAACGGCGAGUGAAGCGGGAAGAGCUCAAAUUUGAAAUCUUCAAGGUUUUACCUUGACGAAUUGUAGUUUAAAGAAGUGUUUUCUGUUGAAGUUUUGGUAAAAGUUCUUUGGAAUAGGACAUCAUAGAGGGUGAGAAUCCCGUAUUUGACCAUUAUUUUCAGCUGUGUGAUACACUUUCAAAGAGUCGGGAUUGUUUGGGAAUGCAGUCCCAAAACUGGGUGGUAAAUUUCAUUCUAAGCUAAAUAUUGGCGAGAGACCGAUAGCGAACAAGUACCGUGAGGGAAAGAUGAAAAGAACUUUGAAAAGAGAGUUAAACAGUACGUGAAAUUGUCAAAAGGGAAGCGUUUGACACCAGUGUUGUUUUCUCGAAAAUCAAUUAAAAAGAGUUAGAUUUUGUUGUGUAUUGACCUUAACAGCUUGCAUUUCAAUUUUCUUGCUUUUUUUAAUGCACUUUUCGUUUAACAAGUCAACAUCAGUUUCUUUUGUUGUAAAAAGGUCAUUGGAAGGUGGCUUUCUUUUCGGAGAAAGUGUUUAUAGCCUUUGACUCCUGCAAUCGGAGAGACUGAGGUCUGCAGCGUAGAUCCUUCGGGGUUAGGAUACAUUUGUGCUAAGUUAUAGCUUUUUAUAGACAACUUGUUGACUAUGAUUAGUCUUGUAGCUUACUCGCUUAUGCUAUUUUACCUACGCUUAGGAUGUUGAAGAUGUAGCACAUCAU